This 63-nucleotide transfer RNA is filed under the name Spilonota lechriaspis (apple fruit licker). Its description in RNAcentral is "tRNA-Ser". The record is from RNAcentral. Lineage: Eukaryota; Metazoa; Arthropoda; Insecta; Lepidoptera; Tortricidae.
AAUAAGAAAUAAAAUAAUUAAAAUUAAGCUGCUAACUUUAUUUUUAGUGGUUAAAUUCCAUUA